GCACUCGUAGCUCAGGUGGAUAGAGCGUUGGCCUCCGGAGCCAAAGGCCACUGGUUCGAGUCCAGUCGAGUGCACCACCC
RNAcentral lists this transfer RNA (80 nucleotides) under Deinococcus radiodurans R1 = ATCC 13939 = DSM 20539. Its description in RNAcentral is "Deinococcus radiodurans R1 tRNA-Arg". It matches the Rfam family "tRNA". From Rfam's summary of the family: Transfer RNA (tRNA) molecules are approximately 80 nucleotides in length. Their secondary structure includes four short double-helical elements and three loops (D, anti-codon, and T loops). Lineage: Bacteria; Thermotogati; Deinococcota; Deinococci; Deinococcales; Deinococcaceae. The record is from RNAcentral.